This 429-nucleotide ribosomal RNA is filed under the name Bacillota bacterium. RNAcentral's name for it is "Firmicutes bacterium partial 16S ribosomal RNA". It matches the Rfam family "Bacterial small subunit ribosomal RNA", at positions 355 to 776 of the family's 1533-position model. The record is from RNAcentral. Lineage: Bacteria; Bacillati; Bacillota.
UAGGGAAUCUUCGGCAAUGGACGGAAGUCUGACCGAGCAACGCCGCGUGAGUGAAGAAGGUUUUCGGAUCGUAAAGCUCUGUUGUUAGAGAAGAACGUUGGUAGGAGUGGAAAAUCUACCAAGUGACGGUAACUAACCAGAAAGGGACGGCUAACUACGUGCCAGCAGCCGCGGUAAUACGUAGGUCCCGAGCGUUGUCCGGAUUUAUUGGGCGUAAAGCGAGCGCAGGCGGUUCUUUAAGUCUGAAGUUAAAGGCAGUGGCUUAACCAUUGUACGCUUUGGAAACUGGAAGACUUGAGUGCAGAAGGGGGGAGUGGAAUUCCAUGUGUAGCGGUGAAAUGCGUAGAUAUAUGGAGGAACACCGGUGGCGAAAGCGGCUCUCUGGUCUGUAACUGACGCUGAGGCUCGAAAGCGUGGGGAGCAAACAGG